UACGGAGGGUGCGAGCGUUAAUCGGAAUAACUGGGCGUAAAGCGCACGCAGGCGGUUUUUUAAGUGGGGUGUGAAAUCCCCGGGCUUAACCUGGGAACUGCAUUCCAGACUGGGAGUCUAGAGUCCUGUAGAGGGGGGUAGAAUUCCACGUGUAGCGGUGAAAUGCGUAGAGAUGUGGAGGAAUACCGAUGGCGAAGGCAGCCCCUUGGGAAGAUACUGACGCUCAUGUGCGAAAGCGUGGGGAGCAAACAUG
This 253-nucleotide ribosomal RNA is filed under the name uncultured bacterium. RNAcentral describes it as "partial 16S ribosomal RNA". It matches the Rfam family "Bacterial small subunit ribosomal RNA", at positions 524 to 776 of the family's 1533-position model. The record is from RNAcentral.